GCUUCGCUCCAUUUGAAGCGGAAAUCCUUUUUGCGUGUCAGGAUUUGUGUUCCGGACAAAAAGAUUGUAGCGUAAAGCCCGACCGCAG
This 88-nucleotide small RNA is filed under the name Lacibacter cauensis. RNAcentral describes it as "Flavo-1 RNA". The record is from RNAcentral. Lineage: Bacteria; Pseudomonadati; Bacteroidota; Chitinophagia; Chitinophagales; Chitinophagaceae.